This 76-nucleotide transfer RNA is filed under the name Candidatus Saccharimonadota bacterium. Its description in RNAcentral is "tRNA-Gly". It matches the Rfam family "tRNA". Rfam says of the family: Transfer RNA (tRNA) molecules are approximately 80 nucleotides in length. Their secondary structure includes four short double-helical elements and three loops (D, anti-codon, and T loops). The record is from RNAcentral. Lineage: Bacteria; Candidatus Saccharimonadota.
GCGGCGGUAGCUCAGUUGGUAGAGCGUCUCCCUUCCAAGGAGAAGGUCGCCGGUUCGAUCCCGGUCCGCCGCUCCA